AAUUAAGGAACUCAGUCUAAGAGCGCCACGCCCUGUGGCAACGACUGAGUGACCAACAUCUUAUUGUUGC
Molecule: non-coding RNA, 70 nt
Organism: Lysinibacillus xylanilyticus
Lineage: Bacteria; Bacillati; Bacillota; Bacilli; Caryophanales; Bacillaceae
Source: Rfam